GUACUCACUGGUCCCCAACAGAAGAACAGCUGCUGCAUCCACUGAGGGCCUCAGUGCAUGGGCGCUGUCCAACCUCUGGUGCUGAAGCAGCCAAGAGACGCAAGCCUGCGUGGCUGCCUCUUAGGAUAUGACAGCACAGCCACUGGCCUCUACUGAAUCCUAUGCAACCUCAGAAGACACCCAGGAGUGAUGCCAUCAUGUGGUGCAAGAGUUCUGAGGGACCACAAUCCUGAAGACAUUGAAUGGCUGUGUUCCUGCUCAUUGCUGGAGGUACUGUCAGGGUCCCUGUCCUCAACCCCUGGUCUGACACUUGCAGAUCAGGCAGGACAUUCUGGAGGAAUCAUGCCCUUGGAAGGAUCCCUGAGGAGUGACUGUUGUUAGAUUAAAAAACAGUGGCAAAGAGCAAUACAGAGAGUUGCCAAAAUUCACACCGCUGGUCCAGGUUUGAAGCAAGCAGUCUGUACCUGCAGUCCUUGUCUGUAACCAUGGCACCCUGGCUUCUCACACAUCUCAUCGUGGAGUUCCACCAUGUGUCAGGCAUGGCACUGAGCACCUUCUUUUAAGAAUAUAAUUUGUAAUUAUGUAGAUUAUUAAUUCUACUUCAAAAUGCCACACAGCCUUCAUGUGAUAAAAUGAAACAAUUGCUCAACUGAUCUCCUGGGAUCUCUACUAAGAUGUUGGCAGCCCGGCCAGCUGGUCUGGCCCUGGACGUGCCUUCAUGGUCUGGUUAUGCUUCAUGACCUGCACUGUGGUCAGUGACUCUGAUCACAGUGAAACGUUCCAUGGGAACUUGGGCCAUGAGAAACAUCCUUCCUAACCACGUGACUGCAGAAACAUCCUUAUCGCGUCCUCCUGGGCAAAGGCCCAACAGCCUGACUGCAGGGACAUCCUUGCCAUAUCCUGCUGGGCAGCAAGCUCUACCACCCAGAUCCCUCCCUCCCAGUCCCAUGAUUACCCCAGCCUGUGAGUGGCAGUUGGUGCUGGCACUAAGCUGGUUUCCUCCUCCCCAGGGUUUUGCUGGCAAUAAAGAUGUUGCUGUUGAAGCCACCAA
Molecule: long non-coding RNA, 1051 nt
Filed under: Homo sapiens (human)
Lineage: Eukaryota; Metazoa; Chordata; Mammalia; Primates; Hominidae
Description: HSALNT0402875
Source: RNAcentral